Molecule: ribosomal RNA, 253 nt
Filed under: uncultured bacterium
Lineage: Bacteria
Description: partial 16S ribosomal RNA
Rfam family: Bacterial small subunit ribosomal RNA
Source: RNAcentral
UACGGGGGGGGCAAGCGUUGUUCGGAAUUACUGGGCGUAAAGGGUUCGUAGGCGGCCUGUUAAGUCGAACGUGAAAUCCCCGGGCUCAACCCGGGAACUGCGUCCGAUACUGGCAGGCUUGAAUUCGGGAGAGGGAUGCGGAAUUCCAGGUGUAGCGGUGAAAUGCGUAGAUAUCUGGAGGAACACCGGUGGCGAAGGCGGCAUCCUGGACCGGCAUUGACGCUGAGGCGCGAAAGCCAGGGGAGCAAACGGG